UCCCUGAAGAUCCCUUUACCACAGAACUUCCUGAUCCAGCCCAGCUUCUCAGGCUGCAGGUUCUGAGACACCGAGUCCUGUGGACCCUGGACAGGAAGCAGGAAACAGGAAACAGGAAGCAGGAAGCAGUCAGAGCAGAUUCAGUCUGAGCGUCUUCACUCUCUGAAUGAGACGCGGUGACGACAGGAAACUGAACAUCUGAUCAGAUGAAUAAUGUCCUGAUGUGGUGAAUGAAGUGAAAGUAGACGUCCUUUCCAACAUCUCUGACAGAAGCUGAAUAUUAAAGAGGAACUGAAACGAUGAGUUAUAAAAAAACAGAACAUCUGAUUUAAAGCUGCUUUAAUCCCUGUUUCUCUCUCUGUGUGUGUGCGUGUCUAUGUGUAUGUGUGUGUGUUGUUGUUGUUGUUGUUUGUUAUGUAAGUCAGUUUAACGGCUGUUCUCCCGUUAACGGACUGAACCGGAGCUGUUCAGCAGAUGAACCGUCAGUGGUUCAGGUCGGAGUCUCGGUUAAACUCGGGUUAAACUCGGGUUAACUCGGUUAAAUUCGGGUUAAAUCGUCUUUUAUCCUUUAAUUUUCUCCUUUUUUCACUUUAACUGUUUAAAUCAUCAGUGACGCUCUUAUUGUGAAAAGCGGAAGUGUAAUGUUAAACCAGCCAGCGGCCGCUGUCACCUUCAAAAUAAAAGGCUUUAAACUAAUCCUUGAGGCUUUUGUUCCUCGAGCUUCGGUUUAACGUCAGAAAACGGACCGUCACGAGCCGCCGGUGGCCGGUGUCGGUCCCGGUAAC
This is a long non-coding RNA of Lates calcarifer (barramundi perch), 785 nucleotides long. RefSeq lists it as uncharacterized. NCBI's taxonomy places the organism in Eukaryota, Metazoa, Chordata, Actinopteri, Centropomidae. The transcript has 3 exons. The record is from RefSeq and is a predicted model, not a curated record.